UGGCGCCCGAACAGGGACUUGGAAAUGAGGGACUCCGUGAGGAAGAGGACGCCAAAGGACGGUCGACCGCUAACGAAGACAAAAGGAGUCAAACUCUUCCGAUCACCGCGGGAACCUGCCGCGUCAGAAUCGAAGGUAAGUGGCGCGUCCGAAAUGGGACAAGAAUUAAGCCAACAUCAAAUAUAUGUAGGACAAUUAAAAGAGGCUUUAAAGAUACGAGGAGUAAAGGUUAAAGGUAAUGAUUUGUUUAAAUUUUUUGAUUUUGUAAAAGACACUUGCCCUU
Non-coding RNA from Macaca mulatta (Rhesus monkey), 283 nucleotides. NCBI's taxonomy places the organism in Eukaryota, Metazoa, Chordata, Mammalia, Primates, Cercopithecidae. The record is from Rfam.